RNAcentral lists this ribosomal RNA (253 nucleotides) under uncultured bacterium. Its description in RNAcentral is "partial 16S ribosomal RNA". It matches the Rfam family "Bacterial small subunit ribosomal RNA", at positions 524 to 776 of the family's 1533-position model. The record is from RNAcentral.
UACGUAGGCAGCAAGCGUUGUUCGGAGUUACUGGGCGUAAAGAGUGCGUAGGUGGUGCCCUAAGUCUGUUGUGAAAUCUCCCGGCUUAACUGGGAGGGUGCGGUGGAAACUGGGGUGCUUGAGUGUGGGAGAGGUAAGCGGAAUUCCUGGUGUAGCGGUGAAAUGCGUAGAUAUCAGGAAGAACACCCGUGGCGAAGGCGGCUCUCUGGGACGGUACUGACGCUGAGACGCGAAAGCGUGGGGAGCGAACAGG